This 541-nucleotide long non-coding RNA is filed under the name Sorghum bicolor (sorghum). RNAcentral describes it as "long non-coding RNA (SBIC_LNC011899)". Lineage: Eukaryota; Viridiplantae; Streptophyta; Magnoliopsida; Poales; Poaceae. The record is from RNAcentral.
CCGGAUCGAGGUUUGGUUGGCUCGGCGGUUUACUCUCAAGAGUCCAUCUAUAUAUAUAUAUAAACAUUCAACUGCAUCACACAGGCACAAGUCGAUGGUUGUCCUAGUGGUUUGUUUGGUAACUUUGGUCGCUUUGGUGGUAGGUUCGAUCCCCAAGUUUGCCUCAUUUUUUAAGUUAUAUAGAUAGGAUUUUUUGGUUUUAAACACUCCAAUCGACACCGACGAGGUCCCAGUUGGAACCUCACUUGCCACAAUUUUUUUUGUUUUUAACCAAUCUUUUUAUGCUGCAGUCCUUGCCACAUUUUUUGUUUUUAACCAAUCUUUUAUGCUGCAGUCCCUAGCAGGUGACGUGGAUUGGGAGAGUAGCCACCAUAGGAUAAUGAGAUAUUUUUAAAAGUAUAAAUGUUUUAUAUUUUAUGACAAUCAAAUAUUGUCAUUGAUCUAUUGUCACAAAACCCAUACAAAGUAUACUAUGAUAAUGUUUAUGACAAAGACAGAGUUUCGUCAUAAAUAGUUGUCAUCAUGUGAACGAUCGUCAUAA